RNAcentral lists this ribosomal RNA (2741 nucleotides) under Clostridium perfringens. RNAcentral describes it as "bacterial LSU rRNA". It matches the Rfam family "Bacterial large subunit ribosomal RNA". The record is from RNAcentral. Lineage: Bacteria; Bacillati; Bacillota; Clostridia; Eubacteriales; Clostridiaceae.
UCAAGCUACAAAGGGCGCAUGGUGAAUGCCUUGGCAUCAGGAGCCGAUGAAGGACGUGAUAAGCUGCGAUAAGCUUCGGGUAGGCGCACAUAGCCUGAGAUCCGAAGAUCUCCGAAUGAGGAAACUCACAUGGGAAACCCCAUGUAUCAUUAAGUGAAUACAUAGCUUAAUGAAGGUAACCCAGGGAACUGAAACAUCUAAGUACCUGGAGGAAGAGAAAGAAAAAUCGAUUUUCUUAGUAGCGGCGAGCGAAAGGGAAAGAGCCCAAACCGGAAACUUGUUUCCGGGGUUGUGGACAUAGCAUAAAAGUGGAGGCUAUUGUAACUGAAGAGAACUGGAAAGUUCCACCGUAGAAGGUAAUAGUCCUGUAAGUGAAACGAGAAGACCACGAGUUAUGAUCCAGAGUACCACGAGACACGUGAAACCUUGUGGGAAGCAGGGAGGACCACCUCCCAAGGCUAAAUACUACCUGAUGACCGAUAGUGAAGCAGUACCGUGAGGGAAAGGUGAAAAGAACCCCGGGAGGGGAGUGAAAUAGAACCUGAAACCGUGUGCCUACAACCGCUCAGAGCCCCUUAUGAGGGUGAUGAGGUGCUUUUUGUAGAACGAGCCAACGAGUUACGGUAUGUAGCAAGGUUAAGUACUUAAGGUACGGAGCCGAAGGGAAACCGAGUCUGAAUAGGGCGACUAGUUGCAUGCCGUAGACCCGAAACCGGGUGACCUAUCCAUGGCCAGGUUGAAGCGAGGGUAAAACCUCGUGGAGGACCGAACCACGUUGCUGUUGAAAAAGCAUGGGAUGAGCUGUGGAUAGCGGAGAAAUUCCAAUCGAACCCGGAGAUAGCUGGUUCUCUCCGAAUAGCUUUAGGGCUAGCGUCGAGUAUGAGUAGUGGAGGUAGAGCACUGAAUGGGCUAGGGGGCAUAGCGCUUACCGAACCUUAUCAAACUCCGAAUGCCACAUACUUUGAGCUCGGCAGUCAGACUACGAAUGAUAAGAUCCGUGGUCAAAAGGGAAACAGCCCAGAUCGUCAGCUAAGGUCCCAAAGUGUAAGUUAAGUGGGAAAGGAUGUGAGAUUUCUAAGACAACUAGGAUGUUGGCUUAGAAGCAGCCAUUCAUUAAAAGAGUGCGUAAUAGCUCACUAGUCGAGAGAUCUUGCGCCGAAAAUGUAACGGGGCUAAACUUACCACCGAAGCUACGGGCUUGAACUUAGUUCAAGCGGUAGGAGAGCGUCGUAACCGGGCUGAAGUCGUACCGUAAGGAGCGGUGGACUGGUUACGAGUGAGAAUGUUGGCAUCAGUAGCGAGAUGUGGGUGAGAAUCCCACAGGCCGAAAACCUAAGGUUUCCUCAGGAAGUUCGUCCGCUGAGGGUUAGUCGGGACCUAAGCCGAGGCCGAAAGGCGUAGGUGAUGGACAACUGGUUGAUAUUCCAGUACCACUACCAUCGUUAUUAUCGAUGGCGUGACGCAGGAGGAUAGUGUGUGCUAGCUAUUGGAUGCUAGUCUAAGCGUUUAGGCAGUGAGAGUAGGCAAAUCCGCUCUCAUAAUGCUGAGGCGUGAUGGGGAAGGUUCCACGGAACCGAAGUACAUGAUUCCACGCUGCCAAGAAAAGCGUCUAGAGAGAGAAGUAGUGCCCGUACCGCAAACCGACACAGGUAGGUGAGGAGAGAAUCCUAAGGCCGGCGGAAGAAUUACAGUUAAGGAACUCGGCAAAUUGACCCCGUAAGUUCGCGAGAAGGGGUGCCUACGAGAGUAGGCCGCAGAGAAUAGGCCCCAAGCAACUGUUUAGCAAAAACACAGGUCUCUGCUAAAGCGUAAGCUGAUGUAUAGGGGCUGACGCCUGCCCGGUGCUGGAAGGUUAAGGGGAACACUUAGCGCAAGCGAAGGUGUGAACUUAAGCCCCAGUAAACGGCGGCCGUAACUAUAACGGUCCUAAGGUAGCGAAAUUCCUUGUCAGGUAAGUUCUGACCCGCACGAAUGGCGUAAUGACUUGGGCACUGUCUCAACUGUAAAUCCGGCGAAGUUGUUGUAGUGCGAGUGAAGAUGCUCGCUACCCGCGAUUGGACGGAAAGACCCCGUAGAGCUUUACUGUAGCUUAGCAUUGAGUUUUGGUAUUGUCUGUACAGGAUAGGUGGGAGACUAGGAAACCAGGGCGUCAGCCUUGGUGGAGUCAACCUUGGGAUACCACCCUGACAGUACUGAAAUUCUAACUGGCGGCCAUGAAUCUGGUCACAGGACAUUGUUAGGUGGGCAGUUUGACUGGGGCGGUCGCCUCCUAAAAAGUAACGGAGGCGCCCAAAGGUUCCCUCAGAACGGUCGGAAAUCGUUCGAAGAGUGCAAAGGCAGAAGGGAGCCUGACUGCGACACCACAAGUGGAGCAGGGACGAAAGUCGGGCUUAGUGAUCCGGUGGUACCUCGUGGGAGGGCCAUCGCUCAACGGAUAAAAGCUACCUCGGGGAUAACAGGCUGAUCUCCCCCAAGAGUCCACAUCGACGGGGAGGUUUGGCACCUCGAUGUCGGCUCGUCGCAUCCUGGGGCUGAAGUAGGUCCCAAGGGUUGGGCUGUUCGCCCAUUAAAGCGGCACGCGAGCUGGGUUCAGAACGUCGUGAGACAGUUCGGUCCCUAUCCGUCGCGGGCGUAGGAAAUUUGAGAGGAGCUGUCCUUAGUACGAGAGGACCGGGAUGGACUGACCUCUGGUGUACCAGUUGUUCCGCCAGGAGCACAGCUGGGUAGCUAAGUCGGGAAUG